This 414-nucleotide ribosomal RNA is filed under the name uncultured bacterium. RNAcentral's name for it is "bacterial SSU rRNA". It matches the Rfam family "Bacterial small subunit ribosomal RNA", at positions 355 to 767 of the family's 1533-position model. The record is from RNAcentral.
UAAGGAAUAUUGGUCAAUGGACGCAAGUCUGAACCAGCCAUGCCGCGUGAAGGAUGAAGGUCCUCUGGAUUGUAAACUUCUUUUAUCUGGGACGAAAACGGGAUUUUUAUCUCAAUUGACGGUACCAGAGGAAUAAGCACCGGCUAACUCCGUGCCAGCAGCCGCGGUAAUACGGAGGGUGCGAGCGUUAUCCGGAUUUACUGGGUUUAAAGGGUGCGUAGGUGGGCUUAUAAGUCAGUGGUGAAAUCUCCGAGCUUAACUUGGAAACUGCCGUUGAUACUAUAGGUCUUGAAUUAUCUGGAGGUAAGCGGAAUAUGUCAUGUAGCGGUGAAAUGCUUGGAUAUGACAUAGAACACCAAUUGCGAAGGCAGCUUACUACAUAUAAAUUGACGCUGAGGCACGAAAGCGUGGGGA